UACGGAGGAUCCAAGCGUUAUCCGGAAUCAUUGGGUUUAAAGGGUCCGUAGGCGGUUUAAUAAGUCAGUGGUGAAAUCUGGUCGCUUAACGAUCAAACGGCCAUUGAUACUGUUAGACUUGAAUUACUGGGAAGUAACUAGAAUAUGUAGUGUAGCGGUGAAAUGCUUAGAUAUUACAUGGAAUACCAAUUGCGAAGGCAGGUUACUACCAGUGGAUUGACGCUGAUGGACGAAAGCGUGGGGAGCGAACAGG
Molecule: ribosomal RNA, 253 nt
Filed under: uncultured bacterium
Lineage: Bacteria
Description: partial 16S ribosomal RNA
Rfam family: Bacterial small subunit ribosomal RNA
Source: RNAcentral